AUUGAACGCUGGCGGCAGGCCUAACACAUGCAAGUCGAACGGUAACAGGAAGCAGCUUGCUGCUUUGCUGACGAGUGGCGGACGGGUGAGUAAUGUCUGGGAAACUGCCUGAUGGAGGGGGAUAACUACUGGAAACGGUAGCUAAUACCGCAUAACGUCGCAAGACCAAAGAGGGGGACCUUAGGGCCUCUUGCCAUCGGAUGUGCCCAGAUGGGAUUAGCUAGUAGGUGGGGUAACGGCUCACCUAGGCGACGAUCCCUAGCUGGUCUGAGAGGAUGACCAGCCACACUGGAACUGAGACACGGUCCAGACUCCUACGGGAGGCAGCAGUGGGGAAUAUUGCACAAUGGGCGAAAGCCUGAUGGAGCCAUGCCGCGUGUAUGAAGAAGGCCUUCGGGUUGUAAAGUACUUUCAGCGGGGAGGAAGGGAGUAAAGUUAAUACCUUUGCUCAUUGACGUUACCCGCAGAAGAAGCACCGGCUAACUCCGUG
This 490-nucleotide ribosomal RNA is filed under the name uncultured bacterium. RNAcentral describes it as "partial 16S ribosomal RNA". It matches the Rfam family "Bacterial small subunit ribosomal RNA", at positions 30 to 507 of the family's 1533-position model. The record is from RNAcentral.